This is a long non-coding RNA of Hemicordylus capensis (graceful crag lizard), 4038 nucleotides long. RefSeq lists it as uncharacterized. The record is from RefSeq and is a predicted model, not a curated record. Lineage: Eukaryota; Metazoa; Chordata; Lepidosauria; Squamata; Cordylidae. The transcript is spliced from 2 exons.
UCAGGGCUGCAAGGACUGAUAAGGGCUGAAGCAGCGAGGUAGACUGGAGCGCAAGUGGAGAAAGACUCGGCUCGAAUCUGACCGAUUGCGACACAGAGCACAUUUGAAGAUCUAUGUUCAGGCAAUAGGUGUGGCAAAGAAGUGAUUCUUUUCAGCCCGUAUUGCAUCUGCAAGCUCACGACCGGCGGAGCUGUCCAGGGUUGUGAGAGGACUAGUAUGUGCCUCUCCUCCCUUGAAUCAGAAUCUGGAACCAUCGAUUACCCGCUCUGACCUGUUUAAUGAAUUCUUGUGGGGAAAAUCUCUCGUAUUCAGGCCAACUUAGACUCCAUCUCCACAAUUACUUCAGUGUCUGAUGCAGAGGUGUCCAGCGACUCCUCUUGUGUGGUUAGGUCGGAUCAGUUCCAGUUUGUGACUCCUGAGGAUGUGGACAAGCUGAUUGGAACGGUGCGGCCUACCACCUGUUCUCUUGACCUUUGCCCAACAUGGCUUAUACUAUCUGCCAGUGGGGUGGUUGUAGAGGGCCUGGUAGAGAUUAUAAAUGCUUCUCUGAGGGAAGGUAGGAUGCCUUCUUGUCUUAAAGAGGCAAUUAUUAAACCACUUCCAAAGAAGCCUACCUUGGAUCCCUCAGAGUUGAGCAACUACAGGCCUUAACUUUUGUAUGGUGUGCCUCAGGACUCAAUAUUGUCUCCGAUGUUGUUUUAACAUUUACAUCAAACCGCUGGGAGAGAUCAUCAGGAGAUUUGGUGCAGGGUGCUUUCAGUAUGCUGAUGACACCCAAAUCUAUUUCUCCAUGUCAGCAUCAUCAGGAGAGGGCAUAACCUCCCUAAAUGCCUGCCUGGAGUCGGUGAUGGGCUGGAUGAGGGAUAACAAACUGAGACUAAAUCCAGAUAAGACGGCUUUACUCAUUGUCCUGGGUCAAAACCCGGGAGAUGGGUUUAUUCUGCCUGCUCUGGAUGGGGUCACACUUCCCCAGAAGGAACAGGUACACUGUCUAGGGGUGCUUCUGGAUCCGAGCCUCUCCCUUGGUUGAGGCUGUGGCCAGAAGUGCCUUCUAUCAGCUACGGCUGAUAUGUCAGCUGUGUCAGUUUCUUGAGAUAAAUGACCUCAGAACAGUAGUACAUCUGCUGGUCAACUCCAGACUGGAUUGCGGCAAUGUGCUCUAUGUGGGGCUGCCCUUGUAUGUAGUCCGGAAACUACUGUUGGUCCAAAAUGUGGCAGCCAGGUUGGUCUCUGAAUCAUCUUGGAGAGACCAUAUUGCUCCCACAUUGAAGGAGCUACACUGGCUGCUGAUAUGUUUCCAGGCAAAAUACAAGGUGUUGGUUAAACCUAAAAAGCCCUAAACGGCUUGGGCCCUGGGUAUUUAAGAGAAGGUCGUCUUCAUCAUGAACUCCACCGCCCACUGAGAUCAUCAGAAAAGGUCCGUCUGCAGUUGCCACCAGCUCAUCUGGUGGCUACUCGGGGACGGGCCUUCUCCGCUGCUGCCCCAAAGCUUUGGAACACGCUCCCUGCUGAAAUAAGAGCCUCCCCAUCUCUGACAACUUUUAAAAAGUCUUUAAAGACACAUCUGUUCACCCAGGCUUUUAAUUAAAUAUUGUUUUAAUAGUUUUAAUACUGUUUUAAAAUAUUAUUUUAAUCACAUUAAAUUGUUGUAACGUUUUAAUUUUUUGUUCUUUUGUUUUAACAAAUGUUAUACUUUUUCUGUUUUUACGUUGUUGUAAACUGCCCAGAGAUGUAAGUUUGGGGCAGUAUAAACAUAGGUUACAUAAAAUAAAUAAAAUAAAUAAAAAUAGAGCAGUAAGCAUUGGGAGUGGCACCUUCCUGGGACUGUUCUGUGGCAACAGUUCAAGACUGUUCCUGCACUUCAGUCUGGAGGGCAUGGAUGUUUGCUGGGGGCUGCCUUGGCUUGGGAGGCCUGUUGCCUUCCUGUUAGUGCCGGAGUUUCCAGUCUUGGCUCCCCAGAUAUUGCUGGACCGCAACUCCCAUCACCCUCCAUCACAAUGGCCUUUGCUGUGGAUGAUUACUAUGAUCAUUCAUGCAUUCGUUCGUUCAUUCAUUCAUUUGAUUUCUAUGCCGCCCUUCCAAAAUUGGCUCAGGGCAGUUUACACAGAGAAAUAACAAACAAAUAAGAUGGACCCCUGUCCCCAAAGGGCUCACAAUCUAAAUGGGAGUCAAAGUCCAGCAGCAUCUGCAGACUCAGGGGUAAGAACUCCUGUGUUAGUAGAAUCAGUGCUGUGUAUUCCUCCAUUGGGUGCAGUUGGAGAAAAACUGCAGAAUGUGGAUGUCCACAUCUUGGACACAGAAUCCAGCUUCCUGAGAACUUCAGCUUGACUUUUAAACACGCGUUUCUAAUCCUUAUGGCUGCAAAGAUACAUUGGCGUGAUGGUAUCUGUGUAUGUGUACAUGCACGUGUGUGCUGCCCAAUGCCUGAGGGAAUCUUAGAAGCCAGACAUGGUUAUCUGGCCGAGGUGGGGUUUUGGUGCUCUUCCCCAAGAUAAAGUAAGCAAAACUAUUAAGAUAUGAAUGCAUAAUUGACUAAGGCGGCACAACUCUAUUUAGCAGAGGACACGGCUAUGUUUCCCCCACCCCUCCCCUCAUAAGAACAGUCCUGCUGGAUCAGGCCAAAGGAAGCCCAUCUAGUCCAGCAUCCUGUUUCUCACAGUGGCCCACCAGAUGCCUCUGGAAGCCACAGGCAGGUGUUGAGGGCAUGCCCUCUCUCCUGCUAUUACUCCCCUGCAACUGGUACUCAGAGGCAUCCUACCUCUGAGGCUGGAGAUUGUCUAUAGCCCUCCAACUAGUAGCUGUUGAUAGACCUCUCCUCCAUGAAGUUAUCCAAACCCCUCUUAAAGCCAUCCAGGUUGUUGACUGUCACCACAUCUUGUGGCAGAGAAUGCCACAAGUUGAUGAUGCAUUGUAUGAAAAAGUACUUCCGUUUGUUGGCCCUAGAUUUCCCGGCAAUCAAUUUCAGGGGUUGACCCCUGGUUCUAGUGUUAUGUAGACAUGUUCCAAGAUAUACAUAUACAUAUACUCGGGAUGUAGUAUAUGCGCUUAAAUGUGCAUGCCCCAAACUGUAUAUAGGUAAGAGUAUACGUAAAGUGAGAUCUAGAAUCUUGGAACAUAAAUCUAGAGUGAGGACAUGUCAUAGCGAGUCACCCAUAGUAGCCCAUUUUUUAGAAAAGGGACAUACAUGUGAUGAAUUCAAAUUCUUUGUCCUUUUUAAAUACACACCGCGAAGAUUCAGCUAUGAAGAUAUGAAUACUACAUUAUUAAGGAAAGAGGCGUUCUUCAUACACCUGUUUAAGAUUUAUGUUGGAGGUCUUAAUACCAAUCAAGAUCUUUCAUGAUUUUGGGGAGAACAUUAGGAAAGAGAGGAAUGCACACAGUUACUUUGGAAUAUCUAUGGAUGCUGUUAUCAUGAGUUUUACAGAAUCAGGAGAGAAAGAAGAAGCUACCUGAUUAAUUUGGUAAAAGGACGCAGCUGUGGGUCAUUAAAACUUAGCGUGCUUAAUUGGGGAUCAGUUUAAAAAGGAAGGAUGAGCGCAGAGAUUCUAAGCAUGUCUCCACAGGUGUAUUAGUCUAAACACCGUGGUAAGAUAAGGCCGGUAACAGAAUGUAAGCAUACAUUGCUUAUACUUAAAAUGGUUUAUCUGAAGAAGUAACAAUUAGUUAUGAAACAGAUUAAUAUCUGGAAAAUCUGUAAUAUUGCAUAACGUUCGCUGUACUGCACAUGGAUUUGGCUUUGAAAGCGUAAGAUUAAAUUACGCAGAUUGUCUCCACUUGGAAUAUAUGGAGAAGGAGACGUAUCAUAUUACUGAAUUAAGAAGAGAAACAUCCUCCCCACUGGAUUCCAUGGGAUUUGCACUUCUACUGUGAACUAAUACAUCUACAGGAUAAGAACUGUUUAUCCCUAUAUGGGAAGUUGUAACAUACAUCUGGGGGAAUACUGCUUGUUAUAUAUAUGUUUAUGCACUUUGUCAUAUCCAGCGUGUAAGCCACUUUGGCUCUGAUAUGUUUAUCAGAUAAAUUUAUUGUGGAAGUUAA